Molecule: unclassified non-coding RNA, 432 nt
Filed under: Hevea brasiliensis (rubber tree)
Lineage: Eukaryota; Viridiplantae; Streptophyta; Magnoliopsida; Malpighiales; Euphorbiaceae
Source: RNAcentral
GCGGCUACUAGGUCCAUCUCCACUGCCACAUCACCAGCUUCCAAUCUUUCCAAAAUGAUGUCUGGCAGGCUCUUAAACGGCACCAUCAUUUUCGGAAACCGAGGAUCAUUUGGUGUUAACAAGAGAUAUUGACAGUUCAAGGCAGUCGAUAAAUAUUUAUUCUUCUUCAAGUCCUUUUUGUUAGCUUCUCUACUCCACAUCCACUUCUUGACAUUGAGAAAACCGACAAUAGUGUCCCGACGAGGUGACCCCUCAAGGAUAGCCACAACCCUGCCUGUUGGUCGUUUAGAUGGGAAUGAAUCCACAGCAGCUGACAAUCUCUCUGUUGCAUGCAUAGCAUCAUUAAUUUCACUAUAGCACCCAACCAUAGAAGGUUUCAGAGCAGUCAUAUUAUGUCUAUUGACAUAAUCAUUCUCCGCAGGUACCUUUUCU